RNAcentral lists this ribosomal RNA (510 nucleotides) under uncultured bacterium. RNAcentral's name for it is "partial 16S ribosomal RNA". It matches the Rfam family "Bacterial small subunit ribosomal RNA", at positions 28 to 507 of the family's 1533-position model. The record is from RNAcentral.
GACGAACGCUGGCGGCGUGCUUAACACAUGCAAGUCGAACGAAGAGCGAUGGAAGCUUGCUUCUAUCACUCUUAGUGGCGAACGGGUGAGUAACGCGUAAUCAACCUGCCCUUCAGAGGGGGACAACAGUUGGAAACGACUGCUAAUACCGCAUACGAUCUAAUCUCGGCAUCGAGGAUAGAUGAAAGGUGGCCUCUACAUGUAAGCUAUCACUGAAGGAGGGGAUUGCGUCUGAUUAGCUAGUUGGAGGGGUAACGGCCCACCAAGGCGAUGAUCAGUAGCCGGUCUGAGAGGAUGAACGGCCACAUUGGGACUGAGACACGGCCCAGACUCCUACGGGAGGCAGCAGUGGGGAAUCUUCCGCAAUGGACGAAAGUCUGACGGAGCAACGCCGCGUGAGCGAUGACGGCCUUCGGGUUGUAAAGCUCUGUUAAUCGGGACGAAAGGCCUUCUUGCGAAUAGGGAGAAGGAUUGACGGUACCGGAAUAGAAAGCCACGGCUAACUACGUG